Molecule: long non-coding RNA, 1050 nt
Organism: Falco peregrinus (peregrine falcon)
Lineage: Eukaryota; Metazoa; Chordata; Aves; Falconiformes; Falconidae
Exons: 3
Source: RefSeq, a predicted model, not a curated record
GGCACUUCAGAGGGCGGCUGGACUCUGACCACACUGGGAAUGGGCACAGGCUGCCCGACACGUAAGGGGGCACAGAGCCUGCCCAGGGCUGCAUGGUGGCUGUACAGCACUGCACGUGGGAGGGAAAUGGGGAGCGCUGGCGGGUGCACCUGCUGCCUGCCAGCAACGUGAAAUAAACAGUUCAGGACAGGGAGACACCAUUAAGUGUGAAUCACUUGCUCUGAUUUGUUCCUUCCGACAGGAACACCCAGUGCUUAUGUGUCUCACCGACUGAUCUCAAGGCACUUUGUGGUGAGGGCAGUUACCCCUGCGGUGGCUUGGGGAGAAACUGUCACUGAGGAGAAGUGAAGGAAGCUGCUGGAGGCCACCGAGCAGGAUGGCAGCAGAAGUCUGCAGAAAACCCCUUUUGCCCAGCCUGGACACCCCUGCUGCUGCUAAGGUCUACCAUACAAGAAAGAGAAAGAACUGUAUUGAGGAGGUGGAUACAGUUUCUUUGUGGACAUAAAUGACCUUGAAGGGAGUAUGUGAUUUCAAAAGUGCCUAAAUUUGCUGAUAACGCUAAAUUGGGCGGGACCACUAAAUAGAGGAGAGAGCCAACCGGUUGAAAAUUAUCAGGUUGGAUAAGGCUUGGAGGCUGAUAAAGUAGCUCAUGCCCAUUAGUAUGGAGAAGUGUAAGAUAAUGAAACAAAGCACUAGAAACAAUCAUAGUUUCUUUGGGCUAAAAUAAUACAAGUUUCAGAAUCUGGAAUAAACAGACAAUUUUACACGCUUACUUUCAAGUCUCUUCAGUUCUUCUGAAAACAAAUGAGGAACAUAGGUCAAAAUCCUCUUUCACAAAUGAGACUGACAACAAUGUAUGAAAAGAAAACAUCAGAUCUAAGCGCUUAGUUAUCCAUUGGGUUUUGUUUUUUUUUUUACCAAUUGAAGCAAUUUGCAGAUUCAUUUGAAACUGUGCAAUCUCUUCCAACGGUGCCAAGAGAUUGGUUUGCUCUCAAAACAGCAUAAAGGGCUUGAUCCUUCAAAGAUGAUUAAAUAGCUGGAUCUAGCAAA